Molecule: ribosomal RNA, 253 nt
Filed under: uncultured bacterium
Lineage: Bacteria
Description: partial 16S ribosomal RNA
Rfam family: Bacterial small subunit ribosomal RNA
Source: RNAcentral
UACGAAGGUGGCAAGCGUUACUCGGAAUUACUAGGCGUAAAGGGCAGGUAGGUGGUUUGGUAAGUCUAUUGUGAAAGCUCCCGGCUCAACUGGGAGAGGUCAAUGGAUACUGCUGAACUUGAGUAUAGGAGAGGUUACUGGAAUUCCCGGUGUAGCGGUGAAAUGCGCAGAGAUCGGGAGGAACACCAAUGGCGAAAGCAGGUAACUGGACUAUUACUGACACUCAGCUGCGAAAGCUAGGGGAGCAAACAGG